AUGCCUCCGAGACGCGACCCCGAGUUUGUUUUCCCGCCAGAGAUCACUCAGUUGAUUCAGCAGCAGAACACCUUGAUUCAAACAUUGGUACAGAACCAAGGCAACAACAACAACCCACCGCCACCACCACCUGUUGACCAUCUGGCACGUUUCUUAAGGUUGAAUCCGCCGGUGUUUUCCAGUAGCACCGAGCCGAUAGUAGCAGAUGAUUGGCUCCGUAAGAUAGGGAGGGAGUUGACCACAGCAGGAUGCAGAGAUGGAGAAAAGGUGAAGUUUGCCGCACAUCAGCUUGAUGGACCCGCAGCAGCAUGGUGGGAGAAUUUCACAGCCACUUACCCUGUAGACACUGUCACAUGGAAUCAGUUUCAG
Molecule: ribosomal RNA, 369 nt
Filed under: Triticum aestivum (bread wheat)
Lineage: Eukaryota; Viridiplantae; Streptophyta; Magnoliopsida; Poales; Poaceae
Description: partial small subunit ribosomal RNA
Source: RNAcentral